GUCUACGGCCACGCCACCCUGAACGUGUCCCAUCUCGUCUGAUCUCAGAAGCUAAGCAGGGUUGGGCCUGGUUAGUACUUGGAUGGGAGACCAUCUAGAAAUACCAGGUGCUGUAGGCA
Molecule: ribosomal RNA, 119 nt
Filed under: Pteropus alecto (black flying fox)
Lineage: Eukaryota; Metazoa; Chordata; Mammalia; Chiroptera; Pteropodidae
Source: RNAcentral